This 407-nucleotide ribosomal RNA is filed under the name uncultured bacterium. RNAcentral's name for it is "partial 16S ribosomal RNA". It matches the Rfam family "Bacterial small subunit ribosomal RNA", at positions 30 to 526 of the family's 1533-position model. The record is from RNAcentral.
AUUGAACGCUGGCGGCAGGCCUAACACAUGCAAGUCGAGCGGAGCGGCGGACGGGUGAGUAAUGCCUGGGCAUCUUCCUGGUAGUGGGGGAUAACGUCCGGCAACGGGCGCUAAUACCGCAUACUAUCACAUGAGCCUCGGUCGGUGUAGCUAGUUGGUGGGGUCAAGGCCUACCAGGGCGACGAUCCGUACAUGGUCUGAGAGGAUGAUCAGUCACACUGGAACUGAGACACGGUCCAGACCCCUACGGCAGGAAGCAGUGGGGAAUAUUGGACAAUGGGCGAAAGCCUGAUCCAGCCAUGCCGCUUGAGUGAAGAAGGUCUUCGGAGUGAAAGGCACUUUAAGUUGGGAGGCGUUACCAACAGAAUAAGCACCGGCUAACUUCGUGCCAGCAGCCGCGGUAAUUC